GGAGAGGUGUCCGAGUGGUUGAAGGAGCACGCCUGGAAAGUGUGUAGGCGGCUAUAAACCGCCUCGGGGGUUCGAAUCCCCCUCUCUCCGCCA
Molecule: transfer RNA, 93 nt
Filed under: Pseudoxanthomonas taiwanensis
Lineage: Bacteria; Pseudomonadati; Pseudomonadota; Gammaproteobacteria; Lysobacterales; Lysobacteraceae
Also listed under: 2 other names
Description: tRNA-Ser
Rfam family: tRNA
About the family: Transfer RNA (tRNA) molecules are approximately 80 nucleotides in length. Their secondary structure includes four short double-helical elements and three loops (D, anti-codon, and T loops).
Source: RNAcentral